RNAcentral lists this microRNA precursor (70 nucleotides) under Pelobates cultripes (western spadefoot toad). The record is from RNAcentral. Lineage: Eukaryota; Metazoa; Chordata; Amphibia; Anura; Pelobatidae.
CUCUGUGUCAUUUUACACAGCGUGGGAAAGUUCUUUGGAAUUUUCUCACGCUGUGUAAAAUGACAGAGUA